GGUAGCUUACCAGAAAGGGACGGCUAACUACGUGCCAGCAGCCGCGGUAAUACGUAGGUCCCGAGCGUUGUCCGGAUUUAUUGGGCGUAAAGCGAGCGCAGGCGGUUUGAUAAGUCUGAAGUUAAAGGCUGUGGCUCAACCAUAGUUCGCUUUGGAAACUGUCAAACUUGAGUGCAGAAGGGGAGAGUGGAAUUCCAUGUGUAGCGGUGAAAUGCGUAGAUAUAUGGAGGAACACCGGUGGCGAAAGCGGCUCUCUGGUCUGUAACUGACGCUGAGGCUCGAAAGCGUGGGGAGCGAACAGGAUUAGAUACCCUGGUAGUCCACGCCGUAAACGAUGAGUGCUAGGUGUUGGAUCCUUUCCGGGAUUCAGUGCCGCAGCUAACGCAUUAAGCACUCCGCCUGGGGA
Molecule: ribosomal RNA, 406 nt
Filed under: uncultured bacterium
Lineage: Bacteria
Description: bacterial SSU rRNA
Rfam family: Bacterial small subunit ribosomal RNA
Source: RNAcentral